Molecule: transfer RNA, 73 nt
Filed under: Paramuricea clavata
Lineage: Eukaryota; Metazoa; Cnidaria; Anthozoa; Malacalcyonacea; Plexauridae
Rfam family: tRNA
About the family: Transfer RNA (tRNA) molecules are approximately 80 nucleotides in length. Their secondary structure includes four short double-helical elements and three loops (D, anti-codon, and T loops). Further hydrogen bonds mediate the characteristic L-shaped molecular structure. tRNAs have two regions of fundamental functional importance: the anti-codon, which is responsible for specific mRNA codon recognition, and the 3' end, to which the tRNAs corresponding amino acid is attached (by aminoacyl-tRNA synthetases). tRNAs cope with the degeneracy of the genetic code in two manners: having more than one tRNA (with a specific anti-codon) for a particular amino acid; and 'wobble' base-pairing, i.e. permitting non-standard base-pairing at the 3rd anti-codon position.
Source: Rfam by way of RNAcentral
GACCACGUAGCUCAGUUGGCAGAGCAUUGGGCUAGCAUUCCAAAGGUCGUAGGUUCGAUUCCCGCCGUGGUCA